RNAcentral lists this transfer RNA (67 nucleotides) under Marmota monax (woodchuck). RNAcentral describes it as "tRNA.Ala". The record is from RNAcentral. Lineage: Eukaryota; Metazoa; Chordata; Mammalia; Rodentia; Sciuridae.
GUGGUGGCUCACUGGUAGAGUGCUCGCCUAGCAUGCAUGAGCUCUGGGUUCGAUCCUCAGCACCACA